Molecule: ribosomal RNA, 424 nt
Filed under: uncultured soil bacterium
Lineage: Bacteria
Description: bacterial SSU rRNA
Rfam family: Bacterial small subunit ribosomal RNA
Source: RNAcentral
AGAACGAACGCUGGCGGCAUGCCUAAUACAUGCAAGUCGAACGAACACUUCGGUGUUAGUGGCGCACGGGUGCGUAACGCGUGGGAAUCUGCCCUUGGGUUCGGAAUAACAGUUGGAAACGACUGCUAAUACCGGAUGAUAUCGAAAGAUCAAAGAUUUAUCGCCCAGGGAUGAGCCCGCGUAGGAUUAGCUAGUUGGUGAGGUAAAGGCUCACCAAGGCGACGAUCCUUAGCUGGUCUGAGAGGAUGAUCAGCCACACGUGGGACUGAGACACGGCCCAGACUCCUACGGGAGCAGCAGUAGGGAAUAUGGACAAUGGGCGCAAGCCUGAUCCAGCCAUACCGCGUGGGUGAAGAGGCCUUGGUUAGUAAAGUCCCUUUUAGGUGGGAAAGUAAUCCUAGGUACCGGUUAAUAACCGAGGUAA